CUCAAUGAAAUUAAAUAGCCGCAAUACACUUGUGCUAAGGUAGCAUAAUCAUUUGUUUUUUAAUUAAAAACCAGAACGAAAGAUUUAACAUUUUUAUUUCUUUCUUAUAUAUACACAUUAAACUUAUUCUAAAUAUUAAAAAAUAUUUAUUACUUAAAAAGACGAUAAGACCCUAUUGAACUUAACUAUAGUUAAACUGGGGUAGUUAAUUAAAUAUAAUUUUAAUUUUAAAUUUUAAACAAACCUAAUACAAUUAAAUUAAUCAAGUUACCAUAGGGAUAACAGCGUAAUAUUUUUCUUAAGAUCUUAUUUAAAAAUUUGUUUACGACCUCGAUGUUGAAUUAAUAAUCUAUUAAAUGCAACAAUUUAAUAAUGAAAGUCUGUUCGACUU
This 391-nucleotide ribosomal RNA is filed under the name Coelotinae sp. ZZ045. RNAcentral's name for it is "partial 16S ribosomal RNA". Lineage: Eukaryota; Metazoa; Arthropoda; Arachnida; Araneae; Agelenidae. The record is from RNAcentral.